RNAcentral lists this small nuclear RNA (20 nucleotides) under Arabidopsis thaliana (thale cress). RNAcentral describes it as "snRNA_16634". The record is from RNAcentral. Lineage: Eukaryota; Viridiplantae; Streptophyta; Magnoliopsida; Brassicales; Brassicaceae.
AGACGAACCUAAUAUUACAU